RNAcentral lists this ribosomal RNA (253 nucleotides) under uncultured bacterium. Its description in RNAcentral is "partial 16S ribosomal RNA". It matches the Rfam family "Bacterial small subunit ribosomal RNA", at positions 524 to 776 of the family's 1533-position model. The record is from RNAcentral.
UACGAAGGGGGCUAGCGUUGCUCGGAAUUACUGGGCGUAAAGGGAGCGUAGGCGGACAUUUAAGUCAGCGGUGAAAGCCCGGGGCUCAACCCCGGAACCGCCGUUGAUACUGGGGGGCUUGAGUAUGGACGAGGUUGGCGGAAUUGAGGGUGUAGCGGUGAAAUGCUUAGAUACCCUCAAGAACACCGAUUGCGUAGGCAGCUAACUAGGCCAUAACUGACGCUGAGGCACGAAAGCGUGGGGAGCGAACAGG